UACGUAGGGUGCAAGCGUUGUCCGGAAUCAUUGGGCGUAAAGCGCGCGUAGGUGGCUUCGUAAGUCCGUUGUGAAAGUCAAAGGCUCAACCUUUGAAAGCCGAUGGAUACUGCGGAGCUAGAGUACGGAAGAGGCGAGUGGAAUUCCUGGUGUAGCGGUGGAAUGCGUAGAGAUCGGGAAGAACAUCAGUGGCGAAGGCGGUCUGCUGGGCCGUUGCUGACGCUGAGGCGCGACAGCGUGGGGAGCAAACAGG
Molecule: ribosomal RNA, 253 nt
Filed under: uncultured bacterium
Lineage: Bacteria
Description: partial 16S ribosomal RNA
Rfam family: Bacterial small subunit ribosomal RNA
Source: RNAcentral